This 1194-nucleotide ribosomal RNA is filed under the name Anthracocystis walkeri. RNAcentral describes it as "LSU rRNA". It matches the Rfam family "Eukaryotic large subunit ribosomal RNA", at positions 74 to 1117 of the family's 3401-position model. Lineage: Eukaryota; Fungi; Basidiomycota; Ustilaginomycetes; Ustilaginales; Ustilaginaceae. The record is from RNAcentral.
AUUCCCCUAGUAACGGCGAGUGAAGAGGGAAGAGCCCAAGAUUGAAAGCUGGCGUCUUCGGCGUCCGCAUUGUAAUCUCAAGAAGUGUUUUCCGCUUCGGACCAUGCCUAAGUCCCUUGGAAAAGGGCAUCAUAGAGGGUGAUAAUCCCGUACAUGGCAUGGAGCGCCCGAGGCUUUGUGAUACACUUUCUAAGAGUCGAGUUGUUUGGGAAUGCAGCUCAAAAUGGGUGGUAAAUGCCAUCUAAGGCUAAAUAUUGGGGAGAGACCGAUAGCGAACAAGUACAGUGAUGGAAAGAUGAAAAGAACUUUGAAAAGAGAGUUAAACAGUACGUGAAAUUGCCAAAAGGGAAGGGUAGGAGGUCAGAGAUGCGUCUUGGGAUUCAGCCUUGCUUUUGCUUGGUGUUUUUCCCAAGUUGCAGGCCAACGUCGGUUUUGGGCACUGGAGAAGGGUGGAAGGAACGUGGCACCUCUCGGGGUGUGUUAUAGCCUUCUACUGGAUACAGCGACCGAGACCGAGGACAGCAGCGUACUCGCAAGAGCGGGCCUUCGGGCACCUUUACGCUUAGGGCGUUGGCAUAAUGGCCCUCUACCACCCGUCUUGAAACACGGACCAAGGAGUCUAACAUGUAUGCGAGUCUUUGGGUGGCAAACCCAUAGGCGCAAUGAAAGUGAAUUCAGGUGGGAUCCGCAAGGUGCACCAUCGACCGAUCCUCACGUCUUUAAAGUCGUGGAUUUGAGUAAGAGCAUACCUGUUGGGACCCGAAAGAUGGUGAACUAUGCCUGAAUAGGGUGAAGCCAGAGGAAACUCUGGUGGAGGCUCGUAGCGGUUCUGACGUGCAAAUCGAUCGUCAAAUUUGGGUAUAGGGGCGAAAGACUAAUCGAACCAUUUUAAUAAUUACUAGGUGGUUAAGAGGUGGCUAAAAGGGCACACCUAGUGGGCGCUGAAGCUCGCGACACUGUCAAAUGCGGGGACACCCUAAGCUUUCAUACCAAGCCGGCGUGGAAACACAGUCGUGGCCGAGUUAACAACCCUGGGUAUGGUAAAACUUGAAGAUGUUACAUGGGCAUCCGCAGCCAGCUCUACGGCGUCAGCUAUGAGUGCAGUCACAGACUAGAUGCAGUGGUUUCGUCUUUUUUGGACGAGCUAGAAAUAGUCGUCCUCUCUCGAAGGACCGAGCAAGAUYCAGGUUCUCA